Molecule: ribosomal RNA, 459 nt
Filed under: uncultured bacterium
Lineage: Bacteria
Description: bacterial SSU rRNA
Rfam family: Bacterial small subunit ribosomal RNA
Source: RNAcentral
GGAGGCAGCAGUCGAGAAUCAUUCGCAAUGGGCGAAAGCCUGACGAUGCGACGCCGUGUGAGCGAAGAAGGCCUUAGGGUCGUAAAGCUCUUUCGCCUGGGAACAAGAGAAGUUGGCUAAUACCCAACAGAUUUGAGCGUACCAGGUAAAGAAGCACCGGCUAACUCCGUGCCAGCAGCUGCGGUAAUACGGAGGGUGCAAGCAUUAAUCGGAUUUAUUGGGCGUAAGGGUGCGUAGGCGGGAAUAAAAGUCAGAUGUGAAAUCCCGGGGCUCAACCUCGGAACAGCAUUUGAAACUCUAUCUCUAGAGGGUAGGCGGAGAAAACGGAAUUCCACAAGUAGCGGUGAAAUGCGUAGAUAUCGGGAGGAACACCAGUGGCGAAGGCGGCUUUCUGGUCUAUCUCUGACGCUGAGGAGCGAAAGCUAGGGGAGCAAACGGGAUUAGAUACCCCGGUAGUCC